RNAcentral lists this ribosomal RNA (484 nucleotides) under uncultured bacterium. RNAcentral describes it as "partial 16S ribosomal RNA". It matches the Rfam family "Bacterial small subunit ribosomal RNA", at positions 30 to 507 of the family's 1533-position model. The record is from RNAcentral.
AUUGAACGCUGGCGGCAGGCCUAACACAUGCGAGUCGAGCGGAUGAAGGGAGCUUGCUCCUGGAUUCAGCGGCGGACGGGUGAGUAAUGCCUAGGAAUCUGCCUGGUAGUGGGGGAUAACGUCCGGAAACGGGCGCUAAUACCGCAUACGUCCUGAGGGAGAAAGUGGGGGAUCUUCGGACCUCACGCUAUCAGAUGAGCCUAGGUCGGAUUAGCUAGUUGGUGGGGUAAAGGCCUACCAAGGCGACGAUCCGUAACUGGUCUGAGAGGAUGAUCAGUCACACUGGAACUGAGACACGGCUCAGACUCCUACGGGAGGCAGCAGUGGGGAAUAUUGGACAAUGGGCGAAAGCCUGAUCCAGCCAUGCCGCGUGUGUGAAGAAGGUCUUCGGAUUGUAAAGCACUUUAAGUUGGGAGGAAGGGCAGUAAGUUAAUACCUUGCUGUUUUGACGUUACCAACAGAAUAAGCACCGGCUAACUUCGUG